This 270-nucleotide unclassified non-coding RNA is filed under the name Hevea brasiliensis (rubber tree). Lineage: Eukaryota; Viridiplantae; Streptophyta; Magnoliopsida; Malpighiales; Euphorbiaceae. The record is from RNAcentral.
GUCACUUUUUCUCCUCUUCAAACUGUCAUAAACACUACCACAUUUAAGAAAAAAGGAGAUAAUUUUGUCCCAUAAAAAGUGUCUAAUUUCCCAGACCAUGCACAAUUAUGUUAUAAAUCAGGUGAACUUAACAUACAAAAUAAAACAUUUUCCCCCACUGACUUGAGGAUACAUAUACAUGUUAUAUUAUUCAAAAACUAGCAUGAGUAACAAAUGCAUCUUUUAUUUAGCUUAAUAAAGCAUCUCCAUCUUUCACUCCAUGGUCUUUUU